RNAcentral lists this ribosomal RNA (468 nucleotides) under uncultured bacterium. Its description in RNAcentral is "partial 16S ribosomal RNA". It matches the Rfam family "Bacterial small subunit ribosomal RNA", at positions 28 to 507 of the family's 1533-position model. The record is from RNAcentral.
GACGAACGCUGGCGGCGGGCUUAACACAUGCAAGUCGAACGGAAAGGCCCUGCUUUCGUGGGGUGCUCGAGUGGCGAACGCGUGCGGAACACGAGAGUAACCUGCCCUUGACUUUGGGAGGACUUCAGGAAACUGGGGCUAAGACCGGAUAGGAGCUCCUGCUGCAUGGUGGGGGUUGGAAAGUUGCGGCGGUUGGGGAUGGACGAGCGGCUAAUGAGCUAGUUGGUGGGGGAGGGGCUUACCAAGGCCUUGACGGGUAGCCGGCCGGAGAGGGUGACCGGCCACCUUACGACUGAGCUACGGCCCAGAGUCGUACGGGAGACAGCAGUGGGGAAUAUUGUCCAAUGGGGCCAAGCCUGAUGCAGCAACGCCGCGUGCGGGAUGACGGCCUUCGGGUAGUAAACAGCUUUCGCCUGUGACGAAGCGUGACUGACGGUACUGGAUAAAGAAGCACCGGCUAACUACGUG